Molecule: long non-coding RNA, 1366 nt
Organism: Homo sapiens (human)
Lineage: Eukaryota; Metazoa; Chordata; Mammalia; Primates; Hominidae
Product: long independently transcribed non-coding RNA 824
Source: RefSeq, marked validated
GUACAUGCCCUAACAUUACUCCAAAAUCUGAUCCCCAUCAGCCCUAUCAGAACACUAUUUAAAAGCUCAGCUUACUUCAACUGUGGCAAAACAGUUAUGGCCCAGGUAAACAGAAGAAGGUAGACUCCACCGUAACAAAUUUAGUUAACAGGAAGCAAUCCCAGAUCUAUAGGCACAGAGAAGAAUAAGAGAGAAACUUCACCCUAAUGAAAUUUAGACUUGAGUUUUAGAAGAUUUUCCUGGAAAGACUAAGUAGAGUCAAGAGUUGAGAUAAAGUGAAGGCAUGAAAAGCAGAAUGAUGUGGAAUUUAAAAGAUGAAGAGCUAUAAACGUGUUAAUUUAAUUGGCACGAUCUCUCGAAGACAGAUCCACUGCAACCACGAAGAAGAAUUAUCCUUUCUACACAGGGCCAUUUUUCCACGAUGCUACUACAUUGGCCAUCACAGAGCACAAUGGCAUCACCAGAAACCAAGAAGAUGGUAAGGCCUGGAGGUGGCAGAGCUGAAGAGAGUACAUGACCCAGCAGAAGAAAUAAGCACAAAUACAAAUGGUGACAGAAAAAUAAGAUGUGUCACAACUGACUUAGAUUCCAACAACCACAACAGCACAGAGGAGGAAGCGAGGUGGUGCUCCCUGGAAUGACCCAAACACAACAAUAUCUGAGCUUGCUCUUGAAGGACUAGCAGUUUACCAAGCAAAAUGGAAAACAGAAAUUGAGUCCAGGUCUAGAUAUCAAGAAGCACAAAGAGAUCCAGAAAAGACCAUGGAGAAUUCAAAGACCAGCAACAGGCUUCAAAAGCCUUCUAUGAAUAGGGCAUGCAUGGACCCUUCUCCUCUCACCCCCCAGCACAUAUGAAGGGGUAUGGACAGUGUUGGAACAAGAUGGUCUUGGAUUCAGAAAUAAAAGGAGUCAGAAGCUGAAGACCUAAGGGUAACACAAGACUUCCGGGUUCUGGCCGGGCGCGGUGGCUCACGCCUGUAAUCCCAGCACUUUGGGAGGCCGAGGCGGGCGGAUCACGAGGUCAGGAGAUCGAGACCAUCCCGGCUAAAACGGCGAAACCCCGUCUCUACUAAAAAUACAAAAAAUUAGCCGGGCGUAGUGGCGGGCGCCUGUAGUCCCAGCUACUUGGGAGGCUGAGGCAGGAGAAUGGCGUGAACCCGGGAGGCGGAGCUUGCAGUGAGCCGAGAUCCCGCCACUGCACUCCAGCCUGGGCGACAGAGCGAGACUCCGUCUCAAAAAAAAAAAAAAAAGACUUCCGGGUUCUGAAAGCAGUGCAGCUUGGAAUUUUCAGAAAGUGAAUUGACUUCCUGUAGCUGAUUGUUUUUUAUUUUAGGAAAAUAAAAAUUAUUACUUUUUGUUUAAAUGA